GUGCUCGCUCGGCAGCACAUAUACUAAAAUUGGAACGAUACAGAGAAGAUUAACAUGGCCCCUGCGCAAGAAAAAAAAAGAUUUUAUAAAAGUAAGCUAUAAUUAA
This is a small nuclear RNA of Suncus etruscus (white-toothed pygmy shrew), 106 nucleotides long. NCBI's taxonomy places the organism in Eukaryota, Metazoa, Chordata, Mammalia, Eulipotyphla, Soricidae. The record is from RefSeq and is a predicted model, not a curated record.